UUUAAUUGAAGAGUUUGAUCAUGGCUCAGAUUGAACGCUGGCGGCAGGCCUAACACAUGCAAGUCGAGCGGUAACAGAAAGUAUCUUGCUACUUUGCGGACGAGCGGCGGCCGGCUGAGUUAUGCUU
Molecule: ribosomal RNA, 127 nt
Filed under: Pseudoalteromonas sp. S1610
Lineage: Bacteria; Pseudomonadati; Pseudomonadota; Gammaproteobacteria; Alteromonadales; Pseudoalteromonadaceae
Description: partial 16S ribosomal RNA
Rfam family: Bacterial small subunit ribosomal RNA
Source: RNAcentral